Molecule: transfer RNA, 76 nt
Filed under: Blastocatellia bacterium
Lineage: Bacteria; Pseudomonadati; Acidobacteriota; Blastocatellia
Description: tRNA-Ala
Rfam family: tRNA
About the family: Transfer RNA (tRNA) molecules are approximately 80 nucleotides in length. Their secondary structure includes four short double-helical elements and three loops (D, anti-codon, and T loops).
Source: RNAcentral
GGGGUCGUAGCCAAAUUGGCAAGGCGCUGGUCUUGCAAACCAGAAAUUGUGGGUUCAAGUCCCACCGAUUCCACCA